Molecule: ribosomal RNA, 859 nt
Filed under: uncultured organism
Description: bacterial SSU rRNA
Rfam family: Bacterial small subunit ribosomal RNA
Source: RNAcentral
GUAGGGUGCAAGCGUUGUCCGGAAUUACUGGGCGUAAAGAGCUCGUAGGUGGUUUGUCGCGUUGUUCGUGAAAACCUGAGGCUUAACCUUGGGCGUGCGGGCGAUACGGGCAGACUGGAGUACUGCAGGGGAGACUGGAAUUCCUGGUGUAGCGGUGGAAUGCGCAGAUAUCAGGAGGAACACCGGUGGCGAAGGCGGGUCUCUGGGCAGUAACUGACGCUGAGGAGCGAAAGCGUGGGGAGCGAACAGGAUUAGAUACCCUGGUAGUCCACGCCGUAAACGGUGGGUACUAGGUGUGGGUUUCCUUCCUUGGGAUCCGUGCCGUAGCUAACGCAUUAAGUACCCCGCCUGGGGAGUACGGCCGCAAGGCUAAAACUCAAAGAAAUUGACGGGGGCCCGCACAAGCGGCGGAGCAUGUGGAUUAAUUCGAUGCAACGCGAAGAACCUUACCUGGGUUUGACAUGCACAGGACGACUGCAGAGAUGUGGUUUCCCUUGUGGCCUGUGUGCAGGUGGUGCAUGGCUGUCGUCAGCUCGUGUCGUGAGAUGUUGGGUUAAGUCCCGCAACGAGCGCAACCCUUAUCUUAUGUUGCCAGCGCGUAAUGGCGGGGACUCGUGAGAGACUGCCGGGGUCAACUCGGAGGAAGGUGGGGAUGACGUCAAGUCAUCAUGCCCCUUAUGUCCAGGGCUUCACACAUGCUACAAUGGUCGGUACAAAGGGCUGCGAUGCCGUGAGGUGGAGCGAAUCCUUUUUAAAGCCGGUCUCAGUUCGGAUCGGGGUCUGCAACUCGACCCCGUGAAGUCGGAGUCGCUAGUAAUCGCAGAUCAGCAACGCUGCGGUGAAUACGUUCCCGGGCCUU